Molecule: small nuclear RNA, 107 nt
Organism: Pteropus vampyrus (large flying fox)
Lineage: Eukaryota; Metazoa; Chordata; Mammalia; Chiroptera; Pteropodidae
Source: Ensembl
AUGCUAGUUUUGACAGCACGUUUACUAACAGUAGAAUGAUAAGAAGAAGAUUAGGCUGGACCCUGAGCAAGGAUGACAAGCAAAUUCAGGAAGAGUUCCAAAUUUUU